UCACACUGAUUAGUGUACGAGGACAGGCUGAUCAGUAGGGUCAAGAGAAACCAUGGUCUUACGGGGCCUCGACGCUCAACACCAUUAGCUACCGUCAGAGGCCGAGCGAUCAGGCCACAUGCAGGCGAGGACGCAUCGCGACGUGGAGAUGCGUGGGAGAAACACAUUUUGUUGCUGUGCAAACUAAAUUCCCCAUGCCUCCUGAG
Molecule: long non-coding RNA, 206 nt
Filed under: Oryza brachyantha (malo sina)
Lineage: Eukaryota; Viridiplantae; Streptophyta; Magnoliopsida; Poales; Poaceae
Description: long non-coding RNA (OBRA_LNC001062)
Source: RNAcentral